UCACCCACAGCUACCAUGACUUUGAUCCCCGUCUUCAUCUGGACACUGAUCCUCUGGACUCAAGAAUGCAGAGGUCAAGCAACAGUAACUCAGACUCCUGCAGUGAAAUCUGUUCUUCCAGGAGAAACAGUCAUCAUCAACUGUAAAACCAGUCAGGCAGUGUACAAGGAUUCAAAUGGUGACUGGUUGCACUGGUAUCAGCAGAAAGCUGGAGAGGCUCCUAAACUACUGAUUAAACUUGUAAAUCAGUUACAGUCUGGUUUUCCAGCUCGUUUCAGUGGCAGUGGAUCUGGAUCUGAUUUCACUCUGACCAUCAGUGGAGUCCAGACUGAAGAUGCAGGAGAUUAUUACUGUCAGAGUUACCACAGCAUCACUGGCUACUGGUUCACACAGUGAUAUAGAGUCAUACAAAAACCUCUCUCAGUGAGAUAGUAGAGAAACUGCACUGCUGCAGCUGGGAGCGACUGCAGGUGCUGAGUUGGAGGAUGUGAUACACACAAACACACAAAUUCCUAUUUAACAGACACAAAUAUUGUGUCUUUUACAUUGAUUUGUGUCUGUGUGUUUAAUUUAUUGGUCUUGAGAACCUUUGGGACCAGAACACAAAUUAAAGCACUUUGCUUUACUGGUCAGAAACAGCUACUGACUUCAUAAAUAUGAGCUGUGAUUAUCACCUACAGAGCUUCAUUAUCUUUUAUAAUAUUUUGAGCAUUUAGCAUUAGGAACAAAAGAAAGUUUUCUUAGUAGAGUGAAAAUUUCAUCCUAGAGAAUGAACUGUGAACUGAAUAUUUACUAUUAUAAUUAGUUAUGAAAUGAGUUUAUAAUAUUAACAUCUGUGUUUAAUUAAAAUUGUUAUAAAUUAUAUUGCACUAAAGAGUGGAAACCAAGAAACUUUUAAUAUGUGUAUAAAUAUAGUUAAUGUAUUAUUUAGGUCUACUGUGCACUAAGAACAUGGAGGCCCUCAGGAGUCUUUCUCAUGAAUAUUCAAGUUCUAUAACAGAUACUGAGACAGAUGCAGUGGUUAUUUGUGUAUGAUGUGCAUCAUCAAUAAUGUAGAACAUUGCAGGAAUACACACACUUAACACAUAUUUAGGUGAUGAUUACACAGACGAGCUGAGUUACACUGAUGAGUGUGCGAGCAUCUAUUGCUGCAGCACUGUCACACUGGUCUGGGUGACACCUAAACACACAGAGUUUAGACAGGAAUGGACAUUUGCCAAUCUCUCAGUCUUUAUUUCAGCUCACUGUGUGUUUCACUUCACUUUAUAUCUUACAGAGCAGAACUGAGUUCAGUGGAGCAUCACAAACGUUUCACCUGCAAUUCAAUUACUUUUAUUUUAGAUCUAUAAUGAUUUCUAUUAUAGUUACUGCAUGUGGAAAUUGAAUGGUAGUGAAUAUUCACUAAUCACAAACAUCAACAGCAUUUAAUAUACAUACAGUCUCUAAGAUUUACUUGUAAAUUACUGUUUAUAGUUAUAAUACCAUUUUAUUUAAUUUAUGUCAAUCAUGUAAACACUAUAU
Non-coding RNA from Silurus meridionalis, 1521 nucleotides. Lineage: Eukaryota; Metazoa; Chordata; Actinopteri; Siluriformes; Siluridae. The record is from the annotation of a RefSeq genome assembly.